CCUACGGUGGGCAGCAGUAGGGAAUAUUGCUCAAUGGGCGAAACCCUGAAGCAGCAACGCCGCGUGGAGGAUGAAGGUUUUCGGAUUGUAAACUCCUUUUGUUAGAGAAGAUAAUGACGGUAUCUAACGGAUAAGCACCGGCUAACUCCGUGCCAGCAGCCGCGGUAAUACGGAGGGUGCAAGCGUUACUCGGAAUCACUGGGCAUAAAGAGCGCGUAGGCGGGAUAGCAAGUCAGAUGUGAAAUCCUAUGGCUUAACCAUAGAACUGCAUUUGAAACUGUUAUUCUAGAGUGUGGGAGAGGUAGGUGGAAUUCUUGGUGUAGGGGUAGAAUCCGUAGAGAUCAAGAGGAAUACUCAUUGCGAAGGCGACCUGCUAGAACAUAACUGACGCUGAUGCGCGAAAGCGUGGGGAGCAAACAGGAUUAGAUACCCUAGUAGUC
Molecule: ribosomal RNA, 440 nt
Filed under: uncultured bacterium
Lineage: Bacteria
Description: partial 16S ribosomal RNA
Rfam family: Bacterial small subunit ribosomal RNA
Source: RNAcentral